AUACGUAGGGGGCGAGCGUUGUCCGGAAUGAUUGGGCGUAAAGGGCGCGUAGGCGGCCCGGUAAGUCUGGAGUGAAAGUCCUGCUUUUAAGGUGGGAAUUGCUUUGGAUACUGUCGGGCUUGAGUGCAGGAGAGGUAAGUGGAAUUCCCAGUGUAGCGGUGAAAUGCGUAGAGAUUGGGAGGAACACCAGUGGCGAAGGCGAAUUACUGGACUGUAACUGACGCUGACGCGCGAAAGUGUGGGGAGCAAACAGGAGUAGAUACCCUGGUAGUCCACACUGUAAACGAUGAAUGCUAGGUGUAGGGGGUAUCGACCCCUUCUGUGCCGCAGUAAACACAAUAAGCAUUCCGCCUGGGGAGUACGGCCGCAAGGUUGAAACUCAAAGGAAUUGACGGGG
RNAcentral lists this ribosomal RNA (397 nucleotides) under uncultured bacterium. Its description in RNAcentral is "partial 16S ribosomal RNA". It matches the Rfam family "Bacterial small subunit ribosomal RNA", at positions 523 to 918 of the family's 1533-position model. The record is from RNAcentral.